GAUGAAGAACGCAGCGAAAUGCGAUAAGUAAUGUGAAUUGCAGAAUUCAGUGAAUCAUCGAAUCUUUGAACGCACAUUGCGCCCGCCAGUAUUCUGGCGGGCAUGCCUGUCCGAGCGUCAUUUCAACCCUCGAACCCCUCCGGGGGGUCGGCGUUGGGGACCUCGGGAGCCCCUAAGACGGGAUCCCGGCCCCGAAAUACAGUGGCGGUCUCGCCGCAGCCUCUCCUGCGCAGUAGUUUGCACAACUCGCACCGGGAGCGCGGCGCGUCCACGUCCGUAAAACACCCAACUUCUGAAAUGUUGACCUCGGAUCAGGUAGGAAUACCCGCUGAACUUAAGAAUAUCAAUAAGCGGAGGA
This 358-nucleotide unclassified non-coding RNA is filed under the name soil metagenome. RNAcentral's name for it is "partial contains 5.8S ribosomal RNA, internal transcribed spacer 2, and large subunit ribosomal RNA". The stretch from base 1 to 120 matches the Rfam family "5.8S ribosomal RNA", at positions 35 to 154 of the family's 154-position model. The record is from RNAcentral.